RNAcentral lists this small RNA (2544 nucleotides) under Pan troglodytes (chimpanzee). RNAcentral's name for it is "retained intron". The record is from RNAcentral. Lineage: Eukaryota; Metazoa; Chordata; Mammalia; Primates; Hominidae.
GAAGGUGCUCCCUGGCCGGCAGGGCUCAGAAGAGAAGUAGGGCACGGCAUCGUCCUCUGCUGACCACCUGCACUCGGCUCCCCGUGCGCUGCAGGUCCCUGUUCCAGCAGCUUCUCUACGGCCUCAUCUACCACAGCUGGUUCCAAGCAGACCCCGCGGAGGCCGAGGGGAACCCCGAGACGCGCGAGAGCAGCUGCGUCAUGAAACAGACCCAGUACUACUUCGGCUCGGUAAACGCCUCCUACAACGCCAUCAUCGACUGCGGAAACUGCUCCAGGCUGUUCCACGCGCAGAGACUGACCAACACCAAUCUUCUCUUUGUGGUGGCCGAGAAGCCGCUGUGCAGCCAGUGCGAGGCUGGCCGGCUGCUGCAGAAGGAGACGCACUGUAUCCUGCCCCCGCCCUCCCCGCCGCCCGCUCCCCCUCUGCCCCGCGCGCCCCCUCCGUGCCGCCGCCGCCUUCCGCCUCCUUGACUCCCCACCCAUGCCCAGCGGACGGCCCGGAGCAGUGUGAGCUAGUGCAGAGACCGCGAUACCGGAGAGGCCCGCACAUCUGCUUCGACUACAACGCGACAGAAGAUACCUCAGACUGUGGCCGCGGGGCCUCCUUCCCGCCGUCGCUGGGCGUCCUGGUCUCCCUGCAACUGCUGCUCCUCCUGGGCCUGCCGCCCCGGCCGCAGCCUCAAGUCCUCGUCCACGCCUCUCGCCGCCUCUGAGCACCCUGCCCCACCCCACCUCCACUCCCACCUCACCCGGCCUUUUCGCCUUUCCCACCCUCCUGCCCCACACUCCCCGCCUUAGAGCCUCGUCCCUCCCUCACUGAAGGACCUGAGCUGGCCAGGCCCUGAGAGUCUGGUCUGCGCCUUGGGAUGGGGAGUCCCAAAGCGGGACGCCGCAGGUGUUUGGCACCCAAAUCACAUCUCACCUCCGAACUGUUCAAGUGUCCCCAGACCCUUCUUCCCUGCUGGGCUCCCCCCAGUGGGAUGGGACAGGGAGGCCACACGCACUGGUGCCAAAACCAGGCCUCUGCUGCCGCCCUUCCUGGAGGCUGCCUAUGUUGGGGGGGACCCUGCCUCAGCUGACCGGGCCUCUCUGCCCCACCCAAGCCCAAACUUGGUUUCUGUGAGAAUAGUGGAGGAAGGCGAGAUGGCCAGUUUGAGGCCUGUGCCUCCCAGCUUAAAUCCUAGCAGGAGAGAGGCUCUGGGGCAGCCCCCAUGGGCUCCUGCCCCUUUCAGGCCUACAGCCACAUCCCCAAGCCCACCAGGUGUCAGGAUAGUCACAGUGAUACCAGUUUAGACACUACCCCAUAUACACCUGGAACAUUGAGGAUGGAAACUGGACUCACAUUCGACAUACCCCACUGGGCACACGCACAAACACACACACUAUGGGGUGGGGUGGGUGUAGGGGCUUACAAAGCCUUACACAGGGCGAGGGGUUGGUGGGAGGGUUGGCACCUGCACACUCCAUCUCCUGCUCACCACCUGCCUCUAAUCUGAGCUGCAGCCUGGCUGGUCCUCCCAUUUCUAAAGCUGAAUGUCAAACAGUGCCAAAUGCUGGGGCAGGGGGUGAAGAACCCUCUGUCCCACCCCUAGCCACCAGUGUCCUCCAAGUGCCCCCUCACCUCUCCAGGUGCUCAUUGUAACCAUUUCUCACUAGUGUCAGGCCCCCAGUGGGACCACAUGCCACUGCCUGCACCUUUCGGCAGAGGAACCCCCACCAGACAUCACCCUUUGCCUUAGCAGGGGUGACUUUGUCUCUCCUGGCUGGGCCAUCCUUCCCCCAAUCUGGCCCUUAAACACUCAGGCCUGUGCCCACUCCCUAUCUCCUUCCCACCCCUACACACACACUCCCUGCUUGCAGGAGGCCAAACUGUCCCUCCCUUGCUGAACACACACACACACACACGCUCUGUGCACACACAGAGGUGGGGACUGGGCACAGCUCUUCACACCAUUCAUUCUGGUCAUUUCCCCCAAAGGCAUCCCAGCCUGGGGGCCAGUGGGGAACUGAGGGCAAGGGGAUAUAGUGAUGGGGCUCAGAUGGACUGGGAGGAGGGGGGAGGGUGAUGCAUUAAUUAAUGGCUUCGUUAAUUAAUGUCAUGUUGCUUGUCGCUUUCUCAGUGUGUGUGUAUGGUCCAUGCCCACUGCUGGUGCCAGGGUGGGUGUCCAUGUGCACCCGGCCUGGAUGCCAGCUGUGUCUUUCGGGGGCGUGCGUGUAACUGUAGUGUAGUCAGGUGCUCAAUGGAGAAUAUAAAAAUAAACAUAUACAGAAAAAUAUAUAUUUUAAGUUUAAAAAACAGAAAAACAGACAAAACAAUCCCCAUCAGGUAGCUGUCUAACCCCCAGCUGGGUCUAAUCCUUCUCAUUACCCACCCGACCUGGCUGCCCCUCACCUUGGGCUGGGGGACUGGGGGGCCAUUUCCUUUUCUCUGCCCUUUUUUUGUUGUUCUAUUUUGUACAGACAAGUUGGAAAAACAACAGCGACAAAAAAGUCAAGAAACUUUGUAAAAUAUCGUGUGUGUGAUUCCUUGUAAAAUAUUUUC